AGAUAUGAGGGUGAUCUGGCUGCGACAUCUGUCACCCUAUUGAUCGCCCAGGAUUGAUGUGGCUGAUCUUGCUGGCUAGGAAGGUGACGUCCCUCCCUCAUUGCUCCAUAUGUGUCCCUCCCAAAACUGCCCACUUGGUCGGCCUUCCCCGAUAGAGGAGGACCGUUCUUGGGUCAAGGGUCUACUAAUUGCUGUGCUCCCUUGCUAGAACCUGCACACAAGAUCUCAAGGUCCAUUUGUAGGAGAAUGUAGGGUAGACAAACUUCCAGGACUCCAGACACAUCCUAAUGAGCCUGCAUGUGGCAGUCUGCCUUUCUUU
This 319-nucleotide small nuclear RNA is filed under the name Tursiops truncatus (common bottlenose dolphin). Its description in RNAcentral is "7SK RNA (ENSTTRG00000023777.1)". It matches the Rfam family "7SK RNA". From Rfam's summary of the family: 7SK was discovered as an abundant small nuclear RNA in the mid-70s but a possible function has only recently been suggested. Two independent studies have found that 7SK RNA binds the CDK9/cyclin T complex (known as elongation factor P-TEFb). The record is from RNAcentral. Lineage: Eukaryota; Metazoa; Chordata; Mammalia; Artiodactyla; Delphinidae.